RNAcentral lists this long non-coding RNA (4841 nucleotides) under Marmota monax (woodchuck). The stretch from base 3153 to 3209 matches the Rfam family "tRNA", at positions 8 to 63 of the family's 71-position model. The record is from RNAcentral. Lineage: Eukaryota; Metazoa; Chordata; Mammalia; Rodentia; Sciuridae.
AGGUAGGGAGAUGGUUGAAGGUCUAUGCCUUGAAUUUUCAGUACCUCCAGCCGCUAUGGUCCUUUUUAUGUACACUAGUUUAGGUUAAAUCUACAACCAAAGAAGGAAUUUGUGUUAACUGACAAAUUCCUUCUCACCAUUUAUUGUUAGACUAAACUCGGAGGAUAGGUCCUGGUCCGUCCUGUUCAUCACUGUAUUCCUCCCUUCUAGAACUGGGCUGGUGAAUAAUUUUACUAUUUUAAUGCCCCUUUUAUGUCCCCUUGUCCCAUAUAUAGGACGUCUGUAAAAAGUUCAAUUGAGCAACACUAAGUUGUUUUUUUUUUUUAAUUUUUUUGAGACAGGGUCUCACUAAGUUGCUUAGAACCUCCCGAAGUUGCUAAGGCUGGCCUCAAACAUGCAAUCCUCCUGCCUCAGCCUCCUGAGUUGCUGAGAAUACAGGCGUAUGCCAUUGCACCCAGCUCUCAAUUUAAAUUUUAUAGGUGUCCUAUAUAUGGGGCUCAGGGGACACAAUGGGUUAAAUGUUUUCUGCAACACGUACAAGGUACUCAUGGAGUCAGGUAAUUCAGGUUUUAUUCUACUUACUAGGGAAUGCAUCAUCCAUCAGGUGAGGUAAUCUCUGUGAGUACUCUUAGAAUUGUCCCCAGGGUCCCCAGAUUUGAGCAGUCUUGCAGACCUAGCUUUCAUCAGCAGCUGAGACACAAGCUGGAACUAAUGCCUAAUGUGCUAGGCACCUGAGGUGAGGGAGAAUACAAUCCACAGGAGCUGAUGAGAGGAGAUGGCCUGGGCCUCACAGGUGGCUCUGGAUGGCUCCUUGCAAAGACACCCUCCUUGCCUGGCUCACUGCUCUGUGCCUCGUUUUCUCAUCUGUAACACGGGAACCCCAUAGUCCCAGGGUCAUGUGUUGUCCUGAAGGGUAAAUGAAUGGAUGUCUGUUAAAUAACCCAACACAUUAAAUGCUGUAGCAGCCCAAUCAAUAUCAGCUGACAUCGACUAAACUGUUCUAUGUGCCAGGUGCCGUGAUAGAUGCUUUUCAGCCAUUAUCUCAGCAGUUCUCGCAACAGCCUCUCAGGUGAGUCCUAAGCAUUGAUUAAGUGUUUGCUGAGGAUUUACCAAGGGCCAGGCACUUUCUGGACACAGGGAAUAAGAGACUCUACCCUUGAAGUAUUUUUAUUCUAGAGGGUUGAAGCUAGACUUCUCAUGUACCAUCGACCUCUGUGAGAUUUCCCUCUCCAUGAGAAUAUUCCGCUGUGUUGGAUAGACCUCUUUCUGCUUAUCUGUUGAUGGACGGUGAGAACGUGAUGUUGAGUGACCAAGUGGACACUAAGGAUCAUUUAUUUUGCAUCCUAUUUAUGCAAAAUGCCCCAGGACAGAGAGUGCAUCUGUGCUUAUCUUGGGCUGAAGUGAGAGUGGGAAAGAAAUAGGGAGUACCUGCUAGGGGAGUUUCUGUUUAGGAUGAUGAAAAUAUUCAGAAUGUAUGUAUCUGUGAACAUACUAAAAUCCCUCAAUUGCACUUUUAAUCCAUGAAUCAUCGGGGAUGUGAACUGUAGCUGAACAAAGCUGCUUAAAACAAACAACAAAAACAGGGAAGAGUUUCCCACCAUCCGAGGCACAGUCUGGAAACAGCCAGACUGGCCCAGCUGGAGUAAGGUGGUGGAGAGGGCUCCCAGGAGAGUUUAUAUCUUUGGGAUUUGAUCAGGUUCCAAAGCUGGUUGGGGGUGGGUUUUGUUAUCUCCUGGAUCGUUUCUCCGUCGUGAGUAUCAGACAGAUGUCAGGGCUUUGAGGAAGAGAAGAGGAGCCCUGGCUGUCCACGAACUGCCCAGCGCUCCCAGGUGGUCUUGAUGUGCUCCUAUCUAUAUCAGCCAUGCCAUAGGACACAAAGUUCUGACAAGGCCCCUCAGAGAUCCCGUGUCACUCUUCCUGGACCUCUUACAAAGGUGAGUUUUAUUUUGCUUGUUUAUUUUUCCCUGUUGGGUUGCUAAGAAAGUAGGCGGGAAGUCUGGAGAAGGGGACCUGGGGGAGAUGUGGGAGAACAGCCCUUGUCCAGGGCCCAUUGGAGCAGCCAGAUCAAGCUGUGUCUGAGGUUUUGCUGCUACUAGGUUUUCCAGUUGUGUGAAUCUUUUUUGGGGGUGUGGGGGUGGCAGGGAUUGAAUUCAGGGGCACUCGACCACUGAGCCCCAUCCCUAGCCCUAUUUUGUAUUUUAUUUAGAGACAGGGUCUCACUGAGUUGCUUAGCCCCUCAUUUUUGCUGAGGCUGGCUUUGAACUUGUGAUCCUCCUGCCUCAGCCUCCUGAGCUGCUGGGAUUUUAGGCAUGUGCCACCCCACCCGGUAUGAACCAAUAAUCUUUAAGAAUUUUAAAAAGUUGAUCAUGGUGAUGGUGGCAUGAUUCUCUUACCUAACAGAAUUGAAUUGUACCCUUUAAGAGGUUGAAUUCUACAACAUACAUGUUAUGCCUGAAUUAAAAAAAAAAAAACACAAGAGAAGCCCUAUGACCAGAAUCACACUCAGAGGGUUUUUCUUGAAACGUAAAUAAAAGCAGUUCACCCAGUCUGCAGAGGGUGGCAGACACAUAGCCUCCCUGAGGAGAUACGUGUCCAUUUUAUAGAUGGAAAGAUAAACACUCUCCCCAAAAGUAAUUCAGCAUGAUCCUCUGCAUAAAUGAGUGACGAGGCAAUGAAUUAAAGUGAUUAAUACUUUCUAGCCCAUGACCUAGUCUUUGAAAACACCGUCUCUCCUUAUGCCCUGUCCAGAUGUCAAAACCAUGCCACCAGUUGACUGAUCUAAGUUAUUCUAACACAUUAGGCCUGCUUAUCUUUUUUUUUUAAAUUUUUAAUUUAUUCUUUAGUUUUCAGUGGACACAACAUCUUUGUUUGUAUGUGGUGCUGAGGAUCGAACCUUGGCCCCAUGCAUGCCAGGCAAGCACACUACCGCUUGAGCCACAUCCCCAGCCCCCGGCCUGCUUAUCUUUGAGCCUGGCCUGGCUGAGGAUCAAACCCAAUGCCUCACACAUACAAGGCAAGUGCUCUACCACUGAGCUACAGCAUUUCCAGUCACAAGCAUCUCAAAAAAGGUAUGGGAAAGUCUCUGUGGAUGUUACAUCUCUUGCUUUGGAUUUUUAUAGCUGAUCAAAACUUUUCUACAGACACCAGGGAUGUAGCUCAGUGGUAGAGCACUUGCCUACCAUGCUUGAGGUCCUGGGUUCAAUUACCAGGGCCAUACAACAAAAUAAAAACAAAGACAAAAACAAAAGCCAACAAAACCCAAACCAACAAGUCUUCUCUUACAAUUCAAACUGGCUUAAGUAAAAAAGUUAUAAAAAUAUGAAAUCCAGGAUAUGGACUUCAGGUAUAGCUAGAUCCAGGGUUCAGCAAUAUCUUCUGACAUUUUCUGUUGUAAUUUCCUCAGCUCCUAGUUUGUACAAGGUAGAUGUCACUUUCAUUCAGGUGCUGCUCACAUGGUGGCAAAGGUAACCUCAGAGACUUCUAGAAUUAUAUCCUCCCAGUUCAACGACUCGGAAAAAAAAACAAUGGCUUUUCUUUUUUUAAAAUAUAUAUUUUAAGUUGUAGAUGCUCACAAUACCUUUAAUUAAUUAAUUAGUUUACUUAUUUAUUUUUGUUGUGCUGAGGAUUGAACCCAGUGUCUUGCACAUACAAGGCAAGCGCUUUACCACUGAGAUACAGCCCCAGCCCAAUCAAUGACUUUGAAUUGCUUACCUGAGAACAUAUGGCUGCCCCAGGUCCAAUCACUGUACUUGGGGAGAUGAACGUUGUGGAUUGGUCAGGCUUAGCACAUCCUCCUUACCACAGGAGGAUGAGGGCAAGCUACCUGAAUGAUAUGGGAUAAGAGAGAAGGGUGGUGGAUGUUCAUGGAAAAUGAGGGUGUUCUCGCAGGGGAGAAUGAAUGUUGCAAGGAAUGUUGAACAUUUUUUUAUAUAUUUGAGAAAUUUAUGUUUAGUUAUUUUUAAAAAAUAUUUAUUUAUUUAUUUUUAGUCGUACACAAUACCUUUAUUUUGUUUAUAUAUUUGUAUGUGGUGCUGAGGAUCGAACCCAGGGCCUUGCAUAUGCUAGGCAAGCACUCUACUGCUGAGCCACAACCCCAGCCCGUAGUUCUUUUGCCAAUUUAUGAUUGGGUUAUUUGGUGUUAAGUUUUUUGAGUUCUUUAUAUAUUUUGGAUAUUAAUCCUCUGUUAGAAAAGUAGCUGGCAAAGACUUUCUCUCAUUCUGUAGGCUCUCUUUACACUCUAAAUCAUUUCCUUUGGAAAAGGUUCCAUGAGCUGCUAAGAAACUGAGUUGAACAGUUUUUGGGUGAAAUAUUUUGUAGAUGUCUGUUAGGUUCAGUUGAUUUGUAGUAUUAUUUAGGUUGGAAUUUUUUUUGUUUGUUUUUAUGCUUGGAUGACCCGUCUACUGGUGAUUACACUGUGUUGAAAUCACCCAAUAUUAUCGUAUUAGGGUUUAUCUAAGAUUUAAUGUCAAGAAGUACUUUUUCCAUAUGAUUAGGUACACUGACAUUGGGGUGCAAAUAUUUACUAUCAUUAUAUUUUCUUGUUGGAUUUAUUCUUUUGCCAAUAUGUAGUGGCAUUUUUUUGUCUCUUUUGAUUAAUUUUUGCUCGAAAUCUGCUUUAUCAGAUAUGAGAAUAACUACUCCUGCUUGUUUUUGGAUUCUGUUUGCAUGAGUUCUGCCCCCACCCCCAUCCUUUUAAUUUCAACCCCUUGGGUGUUUUUACCUAUGAGAUGAGUCUCUAGACAUUGUUGGAGCUUGAUUUUUAAUCCAUUCUUCUGACCUAUGUUUUAUAAUUGGAGAGUUGAGACCAUUUGCAUUCAGUGUUAUUAAGGAUAGAUGUUCCG